UCAGUUGGUUAAUAAAGAUAG
Molecule: non-coding RNA, 21 nt
Organism: Caenorhabditis elegans
Lineage: Eukaryota; Metazoa; Nematoda; Chromadorea; Rhabditida; Rhabditidae
Source: Ensembl